RNAcentral lists this ribosomal RNA (592 nucleotides) under Eosalpingogaster umbra. Its description in RNAcentral is "eukaryotic LSU rRNA". Lineage: Eukaryota; Metazoa; Arthropoda; Insecta; Diptera; Syrphidae. The record is from RNAcentral.
CUUAGAGGUUAAACCCGAUGAACCUGAAUAUCCAUUAUGGAAAAUUCAAUACUAAUUUAACAAUAUAUAUCAUAUUGUGAAAAUGGUGUGCAAUUUUUCCAUAUAAGGACAUUGUAAUCUGUUAAUGAAAUAAAUAUUUAUCAAAAGAUUCUUUACUUAAGUUUAUUUAAAUUGUUUAUUUUCGGAUAUUCAACAUAAAAUAAAUGUAUUGAAUUGGAUAAAUCAUUGACAGAUAUAAUUAUAUAAUGUGCUCAAAUUCUACGGAAUUUUGCAAUAUUAAAUAAAUCUAUUGAUUUGUUUAUUUAUUUGUUUGCACUAUUAUGAUUAACAAUGCGAUAGAUUCAGGAUACCUUCGGGACCCGUCUUGAAACACGGACCAAGGAGUCUAACAUAUGUGCAAGUCAUUGGGUAUUUUUAAUAAAACCCAAUGGCAUAAUUAACUUAACUUAUAUUAAUGGGAUUAAUUUAUAAUUUAUUAUGAAUUAUUUAUUCAAUCCCGGGGCGUUCUAUACAGUUAUGUAUAAUAAUAUUUAUAUUAUUUAUACCUCUAACUAGAGCGUACCUUGAGCAUAUAUGCUGUGACCCGAAAGUG